This 502-nucleotide ribosomal RNA is filed under the name uncultured Gammaproteobacteria bacterium. Its description in RNAcentral is "bacterial SSU rRNA". It matches the Rfam family "Bacterial small subunit ribosomal RNA", at positions 38 to 529 of the family's 1533-position model. Lineage: Bacteria; Pseudomonadati; Pseudomonadota; Gammaproteobacteria. The record is from RNAcentral.
GGCGGCACGCCUAACACAUGCAAGUCGAGCGGCAGCGAGUUUAGUAGCAAUACUAGAUGUCGGCGAGCGGCGGACGGGUGAGUAACACGUAAGAACUUGCCGUAUAAAUGGGGACAACCAAGGGAAACUUUGGCUAAUACCGAAUGCACUCGAGAGAGGAAAGGCGCCUAGCAAUAGGUGUCGCUAUAUGAGAGGCUUGCGUCUGAUUAGCUAGUUGGUGAGGUAAUAGCUUACCAAGGCGAUGAUCAGUAACUGGUCUGAGAGGACGACCAGUCACACUGGGACUGAGACACGGCCCAGACUCCUACGGGAGGCAGCAGUGGAGAAUAUUGGACAAUGGGGGCAACCCUGAUCCAGCGAUGCCGCGUGGGUGAAGAAGGCCUUCGGGUUGUAAAGCCCUUUAAGAUGGGAAGAAGCUGAUUAGACGAAUAAUCUAAUUGGUUGACGGUACCGUCAGAAUAAGCACCGGCAAACUCCGUGCCAGCAGCCGCGGUAAUACAGA